Non-coding RNA from Potamilus streckersoni, 79 nucleotides. The record is from the annotation of a GenBank genome assembly. Lineage: Eukaryota; Metazoa; Mollusca; Bivalvia; Unionida; Unionidae.
GGUGGCUUAGUGGUUAUUGCAUCUGCCUUUGAUGUGGAAGGUUGCAGGUUCAAACCUUGGUUGAGUCAUGCCAAAAACU